RNAcentral lists this ribosomal RNA (312 nucleotides) under Triticum aestivum (bread wheat). RNAcentral describes it as "partial small subunit ribosomal RNA". The record is from RNAcentral. Lineage: Eukaryota; Viridiplantae; Streptophyta; Magnoliopsida; Poales; Poaceae.
AUGCAAGUAAGAGACACGCUUCAUUUGGAAGUUAAUCUGUCAUGGUCAGCGUAUUGUGAUGUUAACAUGCCCCUUGAAGGACUGCAGGAGUGCUUGCCACGCUUAAUACCAACUUUGGUGUCAAACAUGGUCUACACUGAGGAUGAUGAAUCGCUUGUAGAUGCUGAGGAUCUAAAAUAUAGGAAUAAACAAAAAAGUCCAUUUUGGCGUACUACUAUAUUUCCAUGGCAUAUGUCCGAUGUCAGGCCUCUUAUAUGUGCUUUCGACUUACUUGAUCGUAUUUUAGUUGCUCGUGAUUCUGCCUUGUCCUAG